This 2934-nucleotide long non-coding RNA is filed under the name Daphnia pulex (common water flea). Its description in RNAcentral is "uncharacterized LOC124205771, transcript variant X1". Lineage: Eukaryota; Metazoa; Arthropoda; Branchiopoda; Diplostraca; Daphniidae. The record is from RNAcentral.
CUUUAACCCUUUUUCCCUUUUCAGAGUGUGUCUGCGUGUUGCGUCGGACGGUCGCAUCUAUUUCCCCGUCUGAGUUUGUUCUUUUCCUAUCCGUGUGUUUGCUUGUGUGUAAAAUGUGUUGGUGCUGUGCUUGUUUGCGUGUGUGUAGGAUAGUGUUAGACCCAUUAGGGGCAUCAUUGGCUUAGGUUAAGCGUAGUUAGUGUAGGGCCAAUGGUGAAAGCCACCAGAUUGACUGUGCCGGUGUCGUUGGCCAGCUAUUUGGUGCCUUUUAUUGAUUGUGUUCCAGCAACAAGUAUGCCGAACUGAUUGCCCGUGACAAUACCAAGGGCUCAAGAUUUAAAAGGAAUGAUAAUUAACAGUUCUGUGCAGGAUUUCGUCAGUGAGGGUGUCACAUAUCUUGAUGUAGAUUCUGGCAAGAGAAAAACAGAAGACAGUUACGCCAAUGGGUUUGAGGAAGGAACGCAGAAAUUUUUAAGAUGAUAUAAUGCAGAUUCAUAAGUUUUUUAAAUACCCGGUUGCUUUAUUUUCAACCGAUUCCGCCUCCCUUCGGUACAUUAUCUAUCUAGCUAUCUUUCAUGAGGCAAUGAGGCUAGAGUAUGAACGAUGAAAAUUAGGAAAAGCUUCGAUGACGACAAUAAAUAUCAACAAAAAUUGUCCUUCGAUCGUCAGUAUCUCUAGGAUUCUUCCAAAAUUCUUAUGGAGAGGGGAAAAGCCUCCGUCAAAUCUCAGGUUCACAUAAAUUUUGAAUUCUCCAUAAGUUCUUGUUGGUUCUUGUUCUUACGCAAUGUUUAAUUAUACAAAUAUGUUGAGCUUCUCUCGAUAAAGUAAACUUAGCAGAUUAUUAACUAGGAAAACUUUUGGAACGCUAGGCCAUAAAAGGAAAGAGUGUAGACUUCCGGUUUUGUAAAAAAAAUGUAGCACUGAUAAAUAAUAUUCUGAUAAUUCCAGCUUUUGAUCUAACUAAUUUGGGGCAAUUUCAGAAAAAUAGAUUUUGGGAGUACCUAAAUCGCAAAAUCGAACGCCUAAAAUGCGAAACCCUACGCGAAACGUGCAGUAUUUUUCUAAUAACAUUUUAAAACUGUUUUAAAUUCUAAAUUGUGAUUGUUUCGUGGUUUUACCUCUUUCAACUGUGCAUUUGUUUCAUCUUCCGACAUAAACAAUGGGUCGGUUUCUGCCUCACUCUCAGACCCUUCGACAUUCUCGUUUGGAGUGUUGGGCGUGGCCUCAAACCCUACUAUAGCUUCCUGCGGAGUGGCCGCAUCCUUUGGCUUUUCCGUCGGGGACAAAUGUGGCGGAUCAUCUGACGCCUUAUUGUGGGAUUCUUCCUCGCACCCGGACCCUACGGCAUUCUCGUUUGGAGUGUUGGGCAUGGCCUGAACAUAUCCAAUCACUUCCUGUGGAGUGGCUGCAUGCUGUGGCUUUUCCGUCAAGCAAAAUGUGGCGGCUCAUUUGACGCCUCGAUUGGUCGUUUUCUUCCUCGCUCCUGGAUCCUUCGGAAUCCUCUUCGGAGUGUUAGGCGUGGCCUCAACAUCUCAAGUCGCCUCACCCUUGAUUACCAGUCUUACCUAUAUUGCAAAAUGUGUGACUACUCCUCCUCCUUCCUACUGCCGGACAGCAAAGACAACGCCCAAACAAUCAAACUACUCGAGAAAGGUGUGCGCUACAAGAAUGACCGCUACAAAUUGGAUAUGGGAUAUGCCGAAAGAUACGGUAGUAGCACCAGGUCGAUUCUGGAAAGAGCCUAAAUAAAAAUGUUGUCAAGACCAAGGCCACAGAGACAACAAUAGGAGAUUUCGUAAACCAAAGUCAUGCAAAAAAAACUGGAAGAAGACGAACUCGAAGACCCUGUCAGCCGUUCGUGGUACCUACCUCACCACGCAUUCUUCAACCCAAGGGAGCCUGGAAAAUUUCGAGUGGUUUUUCUGACGAUGCUGCUUCCUUUCGUGUCAUUUCAUUGAAUAAAUGCUCGUUGACCGGCCCCGAUCUGCUAACACCUCUCAUCUAGAUUCUUCUCAGGCUCCAGGAGCGAAGCCAUCUGCCAUCACCGGAGACAUUAAGGGUUCUAAUCUUUGAAGCCACCUUCUUCCCCGCCGUCUACUCGUACGUCCUCCGAAGGGUAAAUGAAGAGAAGUUCCCUGGGCUGACGAAAAAGGCCGAGAAGAAUUUUUAUAUGGACAACUAUAUUUCGACACUGAAGAAGAAAUGGUGGAAUCUUAGAGUGAAAUUCAAGAAGGAUUAUGAACGGCAGAUUUUUUCUGGAUCUAAAAGAUGUCAACGUCAAAAACUCUCAACACUAUCCCCAACGAUCUUAGGUCCGACCUAAUCUAAACUUGAACCUUUAUGCCCUUCUCGUGAAAAAGACGCUGGGGAUCAUGUUAAACUGGCAAGAGGGUCAUUUUUUAUUUAAGGAUUUUGGACCACCAUUAUCGCCUCGACAUAAGAAUUCUCCAAGUCAUCUGUCGUCUGAAAUCCGAAUGGGACGACACCCUGCCAAAAGCGGUAAUUCCGCAAUGGUAGUCAUACUAAUCUGCUUUAUUUGGAAUCCCUUAACAUCCCAAGAUGCAUACAGCCCUUUUCUCCGACGUCCAUCCAGCUACACGCCUUCGUUGAUGCAAGUGGCCCAUUUCUUUGAGUGUACAUACAACUGUUAAACACACCGGACUGUCUUGCAUCGUUAAAUGAAGAAGGUGAAGGUAAGAAAUGAAAAAAUUUCAAAUUUGCUACAACUUGCUAAAAAGCAAUGUGGAAAAGGAUUUGUUUUUGGUUUUUCAAUAUCUUUCCAGUUUGUGAGCAAAAAAAUGUAACCAAAAAUGUAAAUGUAUCCCUUUGGGCUUUGGCCAAUCAAUCCAGCAUGAUUAAACUGAAAAAAAUGCGAUACAUUCUAUGUGGGGAUGUAUACAAUUACUGAUAAUACACAAGCUUCGAUAAUUUUAA